CAGCCGCCGCGGGAAUACGUAGGGUGCGAGCGUUAAUCGGAAUUACUGGGCGUAAAGCGGGCGCAGACGGUUACUUAAGCAGGAUGUGAAAUCCCCGGGCUCAACCUGGGAACUGCGUUCUGAACUGGGUGACUAGAGUGUGUCAGAGGGAGGUAGAAUUCCACGUGUAGCAGUGAAAUGCGUAGAGAUGUGGAGGAAUACCGAUGGCGAAGGCAGCCUCCUGGGAUAACACUGACGUUCAUGCCGAAAGCGUGGGUAGCAAACAGGAUUAGAGACCCGCGUAGUCCCUGUCUCUUAUACA
RNAcentral lists this ribosomal RNA (301 nucleotides) under uncultured bacterium. Its description in RNAcentral is "partial 16S ribosomal RNA". It matches the Rfam family "Bacterial small subunit ribosomal RNA", at positions 509 to 808 of the family's 1533-position model. The record is from RNAcentral.